AUGGAAAGAACUUUGAAAAGAGAGUGAAAAGCGCUUGAAACCGUCACGGGGGAAGCGGAUUGCGUGAGUGAUGGUGUGCACAGUUUAGCGCGAGUGUAUUCUGUGCGCACCGGGCGUGUGUGGCUGGGGUGCGUGCCUGGCACGCGUUCCUGGUGAGGGCUCCCCGCUCGUCGGGUGAGAACACACGCGAAAUGACCCAAUACGACCCGUCUUGAAACACGGACCAAGGAGUCUAGCACGGCUGCGAGUCGAAGGGUGUGAAAACCCAGAGGGCGCAGUGAAAGCGAAAGAAAGCAAAUUGGGGAGGCGUUGCGGUUCUACCAAAGUGUCCUACCUCGAGCACCUGUGCUGGGACCCGAAAGAUGGUGAACUAUGCCGGAGUAGGGCAAAGCCAGAGGAAACUCUGGUGGAGGCUCGUAGCGAUGCUGACGUGCAAAUCGCUCGUCGAACUUGGGUAUAGGGGCGAAAGACUAAUCGAACCAUCUAGUAGCUGGUUCCCUCCGAAGUUUCUCUCAGGAUAGCGGGCCGACGACGUGUUGUUUUGUGC
RNAcentral lists this ribosomal RNA (547 nucleotides) under Sirodotia delicatula. Its description in RNAcentral is "partial large subunit ribosomal RNA". It matches the Rfam family "Eukaryotic large subunit ribosomal RNA", at positions 364 to 1006 of the family's 3401-position model. The record is from RNAcentral. Lineage: Eukaryota; Rhodophyta; Florideophyceae; Batrachospermales; Batrachospermaceae.